UCCUCCCUCUCUGAAAGGCAUCAGAAGCGGCCGCAUCAAUGACGAUCAUAUUCAAACUCGGAAGCUUUUCUUCAUCCCACCCGUCGCCGUUGUUGUUCACCACCACCAGAAACGGAGGCGCCUGCUUCUGCUGGUCUCUCUUUCCUUUUUACUCUGCUUUCUCCUCUUCGUCGUCAGAAUCCUCGAAGCCGAACGGGAGAGAACGAUGAGAUGGUCUCGAUGAUGCCCUAAAUCCAAACCCCUUUCUCCCCCCAUGGUGGGAUCUCGGAGCCGCCGCGGAGGAGGCGGCAGCGGUACCGCCACGGGGCUUCCGCCUACGCCGACGUCUUCCCGACAUAGGUCGCUGCUCGCCUGGACGACUACGCCGAGGUCUUCGGCGACCUCGCUGGCUCGUGCUCCAUUCCGCUUUUCGACCUCCCGCCGGCUGCGGACGGCUGGUCUUCGGGGGCUUGGCCUUUGGAGAGUUCGUGGCUCCCUACGAGGAGAUGUUUGCGGUGUCCAAGAGAGGAGGCGUAUUCUUCGAAUGGAAGGAGUGGCUUUGGUGAACCCCACAUUCGCCCUUUUCAUUUGUUUCUAUGGUAGUUUAUGAGUUGAUCUUUUGAUGUUUACCGCUAAAAGUUCCUUUCUCUAUGUGUUCUGACGAUGGAGAUCUGGUGAGCUUUGCUGCCGGACUGUGAGUCAGCUUAUUCUUCUUAGUUCGAUUACUAGAGAUGUCUCCUUAGAGCAAAAAUUCUUCUAUGUCUGUGCUUCUUGCUUAAUUUAUGCUUUAAUUGCAUACGUAGCUUUAGCCCCUAGAAGAAUUCUUAUCAAAUUCUCUGGGUAAAAUAAGCCGUCAGAGAGGAAAAAAAAAAGUUUCUUAUUUGAGUGAAAUUGUUCUUCAAUUGUUUAGGGCAAGCAAAGAAUUCAUUCGGAGAUAGGCAUUCUUUUGGUACGAAAGUCCUCGAAGAACACUGUUCCUUUUAUUGUUGGUAUCAUGUUGAAUGUGUUACCUAGGUUUCCUGGUAAACCUCGAAAUUAGGUAACAUAUGCAUGCUCCAGUUGAUAAGUUUGUUUGCAGGAAUUUAUUUUGGCGAAAGUAUGUUCAAGUUUGCUGAAGAGUCAUGUAGUUAAUUAGAAAAGAUUUAUGGGAUUCGGAUGCCAUUACUGUUUUCUAAAGCAAGGACAAAUAGCCACCAUAAUCCUACAUCCCAAAAAUCAAUCGCUUUAUGAUUAAGGACAACCUUGAAUAAUUUUGUUUUCUAGUGGAACCCUUUAAGUACAUCGAAAGUUUGGAGCCAGACAACAUCGGAGUGUCUCCAACUUUUGUCUUACCCGAGGGUUUUUCUAUGUUUUUGCAACUACUGGACAAUAAAUACUGGUAGAAAUAUAAUUUGUAACUAUCUCAAGGUAGGCUAAGAUUGCACAGUAAGCAGCAUCGUGAUUUGAUGUCCACGAGGAAUGUGAUCUAGGAGAAGAAUACUUUUGAAAAUAUUGGAUGAUGAAAGUUAAUCAAUUGCUAGUAUGAAUUUGGUGUCUUCUCUCUUUGAUUUAGUAUCUACUGAGUUAGAUAUAAAAGAAAAUGUGGUGUUUCAUGACACUCUCAUUUAUCUGCUGAAUCUUUCAGCAGAAGUUUGCAGCAUGUGAUUGACAAUGUCCAUUGCUUGUGGAGCAAACACUAUUGCAAUACGUGGACAUGAUUCCAUCUAUCAGGAUUAGAAAUUAUCCUCCAUUGAAAUAUUAGCGUUGGUUGCUGGCAUCAUGCUUGGGUUCCAAGAAUUUUGCUGCCAGAAGAGAAGCGUCACCACUAAGGCAUUCCAUUCCAUUCGAUGUAGAACUGUGUUGUCUACCAACAUUGUUGCAACAGUUAAUGACUGAACAACAAGGUUUAGGGAUAGUAGAGAGAGAGAAGCAUACGACUGUGUACGUGUGAUAAGAAGGAAGGCUACGUCAGCAUUCCUUCGUGCUGUGAGAUGUGGAACGUACCUGAGGAUUAAACAGCUAUUCCAGCAAGAGGUGUCUUUGUCUCUUCCACGCAUGAUUGCAGAAUAGAUGUCUUUGAUCUUCUCCGAGUGGGAAGCUGCGAUUACUCGUCGCCGAUCAUCUCUCCAUCGGAACAUGGCCAGCCAGCCAGAUCUAACAGCAGCCUAAGGAAUUUGCUGAUUUGGCAUGUAUCCAUGUUGAUUUGGUGUGCAACAUUGAUGACAUAACAUCUAUAU
Long non-coding RNA from Musa acuminata AAA Group (dessert banana), 2195 nucleotides. RefSeq lists it as uncharacterized. The record is from RefSeq and is a predicted model, not a curated record. The transcript is spliced from 3 exons. NCBI's taxonomy places the organism in Eukaryota, Viridiplantae, Streptophyta, Magnoliopsida, Zingiberales, Musaceae.